RNAcentral lists this ribosomal RNA (164 nucleotides) under uncultured bacterium. RNAcentral describes it as "partial 16S rRNA". It matches the Rfam family "Bacterial small subunit ribosomal RNA", at positions 355 to 511 of the family's 1533-position model. The record is from RNAcentral.
UAGGGAAUCUUCGGCGAUGGACGAAAGUCUGACCGAGCAACGCCGCGUGAGUGAAGAAGGUUUUCGGAUCGUAAACUCUGUUGGUAGAGAAGAACGUUGGUGAGAGUGGAAAGCUCAUCAAGUGACGGUAACUACCCAGAAAGGGACGGCUAACUACGUGCCAG